GAAAUGCGAUAAGUAAUGUAAAUUGCAGAAUUCAGUGAAUCAUCGAAUCUUUGAACGCACCUUGCGCUCCUUGGUAUUCCUUGGAGCAUGCCUGUUUGAGUAUCAUGAAAUCUUCAAAGUAAAUCUUUUGUUAACUCAAUUGGUUUCUACUUUGGUAUUGGAGGUCUUUGCAGCUUCACACCUGCUCCUCUUUGUUCAUUAGCUGGAUCUCAGUGUUAUGCUUGGUUCCACUCGGCGUGAUAAGUUAUCUAUCGCUGAGGACACUGUAAAAGGUGGCCAAGGUAAAUGCAGAUGAACCGCUUCUAAUAGUCCAUUGACUUGGACAAUACUUUUAUGAUCUGAUCUCAAAUCAGGUAGGACUACCGGCUGAACUUAAGC
This 378-nucleotide unclassified non-coding RNA is filed under the name plant metagenome. Its description in RNAcentral is "partial contains 5.8S ribosomal RNA, internal transcribed spacer 2, and large subunit ribosomal RNA". The stretch from base 1 to 105 matches the Rfam family "5.8S ribosomal RNA", at positions 50 to 154 of the family's 154-position model. The record is from RNAcentral.